AAAGAAUUUACUGUUUGCGUAGAAGAAGGAAAAAA
This 35-nucleotide small RNA is filed under the name Arabidopsis thaliana (thale cress). RNAcentral describes it as "ATSL244850". The record is from RNAcentral. Lineage: Eukaryota; Viridiplantae; Streptophyta; Magnoliopsida; Brassicales; Brassicaceae.